RNAcentral lists this ribosomal RNA (484 nucleotides) under uncultured bacterium. RNAcentral's name for it is "partial 16S ribosomal RNA". It matches the Rfam family "Bacterial small subunit ribosomal RNA", at positions 28 to 507 of the family's 1533-position model. The record is from RNAcentral.
AUUGAACGCUGGCGGCAUGCUUUACACAUGCAAGUCGAACGGCAGCGCGGGCUUCGGCCUGGCGGCGAGUGGCGAACGGGUGAGUAAUGCAUCGGAACGUGCCCAGUAGUGGGGGAUAGCCCGGCGAAAGCCGGAUUAAUACCGCAUACGACCUGAGGGUGAAAGCGGGGGACCGAAAGGCCUCGCGCUUUUGGAGCGGCCGAUGUCGGAUUAGCUAGUUGGUGGGGUAAAGGCUUACCAAGGCGACGAUCCGUAGCUGGUCUGAGAGGACGACCAGCCACACUGGGACUGAGACACGGCCCAGACUCCUACGGGAGGCAGCAGUGGGGAAUUUUGGACAAUGGGGGCAACCCUGAUCCAGCCAUGCCGCGUGCGGGAAGAAGGCCUUCGGGUUGUAAACCGCUUUUGUUCGGGAAGAAAUCCUCUGGGCUAAUACCCCGGGGGGAUGACGGUACCGGAAGAAUAAGCACCGGCUAACUACGUG